UGGUUCUGGCAUCGAUGAAGAACGCAGCGAAAUGCGAUAAGUAAUGCGAAUUGCAGAAUUCAGUGAGUCAUCGAAUCUUUGAACGCACAUUGCGCCCCUUAGUAUUCUAGAGGGCAUGCCUGUUCGAGCGUCAUUGUCACCUAUCAAGCCUGGCUUGCUGUUGGACCGAUGCCGGUGACCGGCAGGUCUCAAAGACGACGGCGGCGUCUAUCAGACCCUCGGAGCAACGAGCUCUGAUGAGCACGCUUUAGAGCGGGACGAUCGGCCCAGCCUUUCAGAAUGACCAUUUUUCACAAGGUUGACCUCGGAUCAGGUAGGAAUACCCGCUGA
RNAcentral lists this unclassified non-coding RNA (330 nucleotides) under uncultured fungus. Its description in RNAcentral is "partial contains 5.8S ribosomal RNA and internal transcribed spacer 2". The stretch from base 1 to 133 matches the Rfam family "5.8S ribosomal RNA", at positions 22 to 154 of the family's 154-position model. Lineage: Eukaryota; Fungi. The record is from RNAcentral.